CUGGAGACCCAGAAUCGAGUCCCAUAUCAGGCUCCCUGCAUGGAGCCUGCUUCCUCCCUCUGCCUGUGUCUAUGUCUCUCUCUUUCUCUCUCUCUCUCUCUCUCUCUCUCUCUUUUUCUCUCUCUGUGGAUCUCAUGAAUAAAUAAAAUAUUUUAAAAAAGAAAUUCACAACAAUAGGUAAUGGUGAAGAGUGAGAAAGAACCAAAUGAACGACAGAAUAAGGGUGUAAUGGAGCAUGAAUGGAAGAAACUCCCUCUUUAUGUCAUGUUUACCAUCAGAAUUGUAUAUUGGAGAUAAAGAAGAAUUACAGGUCACUUUAGGACCUAUCUUUAGGGUUGUUAAAGAACUGACCACAGCAUCAAACCUAUAUCCNNNNNNCCCCCCCCCCCCCCCCCGCCCCAAAGAUGUCAGAAGUAAUGCUUUGUGAUGUUGAAGCCACCCAUUGGCUGGAACAGUUCUUUGAUGACCAAAGCCAAAGGAUAUGGCUCCACAUUAUCUAAGGGAAAGUGUGCAUAUGUAAAUAAAUGAAAGUCAGGAGCCCUGAGAUAGAUCACUAGGAGGCUUAAAUAUGGUGAUAAGAUCCACAUACCAUAAAAGCCUAGCAUAAAUCUAGAACAAUCAAGUAUGAGAAUGAAACGGCGAAUGCCAUGCACCAAAGGAAGGAAAAAGCAGAACAUUUCUUGUCCCUCCAACAACAAAAAAAAUGACAAGGUGCAAAAGGAAGUCAUAAGAUCAACAUUAGGCCAUCAACAGAAUUUGAAGAAAAUGAAGAACACAAAAAAUCCAACAAUAAUAGUCUGUUACUACAGAACGAACAAGAAAAUACAUCAGAAUCAGCUGGAGUCUAAACAAGAGAUCCCAGAGAGCUCUGAUGAUCCAAGCAGUGGCCUGUCAGUGGCAGGGGCCAGAGAUCUGGGCCUAUCUACUGUAUCUCAUGAGAAUGCAAUGGAGAAAGCCAACUUCAGAGAGACCACAUCUGAAAAAUAGUGGUGAUGACAAUAAAAUCAAGUCAUCAGCAACA
Molecule: long non-coding RNA, 1021 nt
Filed under: Vulpes vulpes (red fox)
Lineage: Eukaryota; Metazoa; Chordata; Mammalia; Carnivora; Canidae
Description: lncRNA (ENSVVUG00000024196.1)
Source: RNAcentral